UUACGAUUUUAGGACGGCGACGGCCAAAACAAACUCCUUCAAAUAAAUGGUAGUAAAGAUAGUUCGUCGUAUAUUAUCAAUCGUAUGAAUUUAAUACAGUUUUAGAAGUUGAAGACAUGGGUUUUAUGGUUGGGAAGAGUUCUGCUAAACCCAGUUUGAAGUUGCACUUGUUGUAGCUUGGAAUGCAGCUGUUGUAUCAAGACGUGAAA
Non-coding RNA from Paramuricea clavata, 209 nucleotides. The record is from the annotation of a GenBank genome assembly. NCBI's taxonomy places the organism in Eukaryota, Metazoa, Cnidaria, Anthozoa, Malacalcyonacea, Plexauridae.